This 405-nucleotide ribosomal RNA is filed under the name uncultured bacterium. Its description in RNAcentral is "partial 16S ribosomal RNA". It matches the Rfam family "Bacterial small subunit ribosomal RNA", at positions 355 to 754 of the family's 1533-position model. The record is from RNAcentral.
UGGGGAAUAUUGCACAAUGGGCGCAAGCCUGAUGCAGCCAUGCCGCGUGUGUGAAGAAGGCCUUCGGUUGUAAAGCACUUUCAGCGAGGAGGAAGGUGGUGAACUUAAUACGUUCAUCAAUUGACGUUACUCGCAGAAGAAGCACCGGCUAACUCCGUGCCAGCAGCCGCGGUAAUACGGAGGGUGCAAGCGUUAAUCGGAAUUACUGGGCGUAAAGCGCACGCAGGCGGUUUGUUAAGUCAGAUGUGAAAUCCCCGGGCUCAACCUGGGAACUGCAUUUGAAACUGGCAAGCUAGAGUCUCGUAGAGGGGGGUAGAAUUCCAGGUGUAGCGGUGAAAUGCGUAGAGAUCUGGAGGAAUACCGGUGGCGAAGGCGGCCCCCUGACGAAGACUGACGCUCAGGUGC